This 22-nucleotide ribosomal RNA is filed under the name fungal sp. SP-8. RNAcentral's name for it is "partial 18S ribosomal RNA". Lineage: Eukaryota; Fungi. The record is from RNAcentral.
AUUUCCGUAGGUGAACCUGCGG